CUCUCCAUAGGCUAAUGGAUAAACCAGAAGACUACGAAUCUUCUAUUGUCGGUUCGAGUCCGGCUGGAGAGAC
Molecule: transfer RNA, 73 nt
Filed under: Streptomyces phage Wofford
Lineage: Duplodnaviria; Heunggongvirae; Uroviricota; Caudoviricetes; Stanwilliamsviridae
Description: tRNA-Arg
Rfam family: tRNA
About the family: Transfer RNA (tRNA) molecules are approximately 80 nucleotides in length. Their secondary structure includes four short double-helical elements and three loops (D, anti-codon, and T loops).
Source: RNAcentral